Molecule: ribosomal RNA, 497 nt
Filed under: uncultured bacterium
Lineage: Bacteria
Description: partial 16S ribosomal RNA
Rfam family: Bacterial small subunit ribosomal RNA
Source: RNAcentral
GAUGAACGCUGGCGGCGUGCCUAAUACAUGCAAGUCGAGCGAACGGACGAGAAGCUUGCUUCUCUGAUGUUAGCGGCGGACGGGUGAGUAACACGUGGAUAACCUACCUAUAAGACUGGGAUAACUUCGGGAAACCGGAGCUAAUACCGGAUAAUAUUUUGAACCGCAUGGUUCAAAAGUGAAAGACGGUCUUGCUGUCACUGAUAGAUGGAUCCGCGCUGCAUUAGCUAGUUGGUAAGGUAACGGCUUACCAAGGCAACGAUGCAUAGCCGACCUGAGAGGGUGAUCGGCCACACUGGAACUGAGACACGGUCCAGACUCCUACGGGAGGCAGCAGUAGGGAAUCUUCCGCAAUGGGCGAAAGCCUGACGGAGCAACGCCGCGUGAGUGAUGAAGGUCUUCGGAUCGUAAAACUCUGUUAUUAGGGAAGAACAUAUGUGUAAGUAACUGUGCACAUCUUGACGGUACCUAAUCAGAAAGCCACGGCUAACUACGUG